AUUGUAACCGUUUUUUUCAAUGCAUUCAAAAUUGCUGUCUAACGUAAUGUCUUUUAAUGGUUAGUUAUUAAAAUUUUAAUUGUUUAAUAGAUGCUAUUUUAAUUUGUUCAAAUUUGUUUAUUGUAUUUGGUCAUGGUCUCCUUGAUUGUAAUGGUUAACAAAAGUUAACCUGAAGAGCCAAUACAUAUAAAUAUAUACUAAUGAUGCUAUCAAUCUUGGCGGCAAUGAUGAUGAGCAAGAUGAAAAGGACAAGGUCAUUGAAUAAGAGGACCAGCAAAUAUUAUCAACAUCUUUAUUGCUAUAAAAAUUCACACUUUAUUAUUGCAUUGGCGCUAAGAAAGACCGUUUAGGGCUGAAAGGAAGAAUGGCCAAUAGGUUUUAGUAUCAACUAUCCACCAACAGAUUAAUUUAUUAGGUGAAUAAAUCGAUGAGCCUCUGGUCUCUGUGAAACGAUUUUGCCAUAAAUUUGUAUGUAAAAUAUUGUCAGUCGAGCCAUAAGACAACUUGUAUACUUUACUUGAGCAAGGAUCUUAACCAUUCGUUGACUCGAUGAAGUUCACAAGAAAUAAAUUUUUAACUACAAUUAGCAUAA
Molecule: long non-coding RNA, 592 nt
Organism: Tetranychus urticae (two-spotted spider mite)
Lineage: Eukaryota; Metazoa; Arthropoda; Arachnida; Trombidiformes; Tetranychidae
Source: RefSeq, a predicted model, not a curated record